GGGGGGGGGGGGGGGGGGGGGGGGGGGGGGGGGGGCGGGCGGGGGCACGGGGGCUGGCGGCGGGGGGCGAGGGGCGGACGGGGGAGUGAUACAUGGGGACAUGUCCGUGAGGGGGGGAUAGCCCGGCGAAAGCCGGGUGAAUACCGCAGACGGUCGACGGGUGACAGCGGGGGCCCUUCGCGGCUCGCGCGUUCUGGUGGGCCGAUGGCUGAUUAGCUAGUUGGUGGGGUACAGGCAUACCAAGGCGACGAUCAGUCGCGGGUCUGAGAGGACGACCAGCCACACUGGGAGUGAGACACGGCCCAGACUCCUACGGGAGGCAGCAGUGGGGAAUUUUGGACAAUGGGCGAAAGCCUGAUCCAGCAAUGCCGCGUGUGUGAAGAAGGCCUUCGGGUUGUAAAGCCCUUUUGUCCGGAAAGAAAUCCUUGGCCCUAAUACGGUCGGGGGAUGACGGUACCGGAAGAAUAAGCACCGGCUAACUACGUG
RNAcentral lists this ribosomal RNA (486 nucleotides) under uncultured bacterium. Its description in RNAcentral is "partial 16S ribosomal RNA". The stretch from base 53 to 486 matches the Rfam family "Bacterial small subunit ribosomal RNA", at positions 35 to 507 of the family's 1533-position model. The record is from RNAcentral.